This is a non-coding RNA of Podarcis lilfordi (Lilford's wall lizard), 3488 nucleotides long. The record is from the annotation of a GenBank genome assembly. NCBI's taxonomy places the organism in Eukaryota, Metazoa, Chordata, Lepidosauria, Squamata, Lacertidae.
GUGGGCUUAGUCAGGCAGCAGAUACUUGUUCCUACACUGCAGAACCUGGCAGUGGAUUGAUUCUGCCAGAAGGUAAAAAGAAUUCUAUAAUAUAUUGGAGGAGGGAGAAAUAUUGGGAGGGGGAGGAAAGGGAGAUGGGGAGAUGGGGAGGGAGACUGGGGAAAGGAGAAGGAGAGGAGGAAGGGGGAGAGGGCUUGGGGCUGAAGAAAAAACAUUUCUAAAAUAAUAUAAGCAGUGCUCUUUUUCUAAAAAAAAUAUUUAGGGGUUCUCUCUCAUUUUGACUCAAGAAAAGCACCAAUUUAUAGUUGAAAUCGGGGAAAAUAAAUACAGUAACAGGGCAGGACAGAGAAGGCUUAUUCCAAAAGGUGGCUUUUUGUUUUUAUUGUUUUAAGGAAACGCCAGAGGGAAAGCACAAAUCCUCAGACCAAAAUUUGUGGUUCUGCCAAAAUAGAAAAAAUCUACAAUGUAUAGAGGGGGAUAUUGGGGUGGGGCGGAAAGGGAGAGGGAGAUUGGGGAAAGGAGGAGGGGAGGAGGAAGAGUUGACGGCUGAAGAAAAAACAUUUCUACAAUAAUAUAAGGACGGCUUUGUUUGAUUGGGGAGACUCCUAGAAUCCCUCUGGGGGUCGUGAGGGAGGGGAGGGGGAGAAUGUUCCCUUGUGCUGACAGAAGGUUCUCUUGGCACUGCUAGGAAUACCACCCAAAGCUCUCACCCCCUCAUUCAAUAUAAUGGUGAACCUAAAAAAGGGUUCGGAGAAAAGUGGAAGAAAUUUGCAGAAAUAUAAGCCUCUCUGGAUUAAGCCUGCCAAAUUUUAGGCAGAUCCGUUCGGAGGUUUUUGUGCAGGACAACUAUAUUAAAUUGGGUCAGACCUCACUAUUAAGUUGUGGGUGGACAUAGCAGACGACAGAGAUUUCUCCAAGUGGUUCUUUAUAGUAAGCUGGAACUGAAUUGAACUCAAACAGCUCAGCCGUCCUGCUUUUAUAGGCAGCCGGCUGUCAACAUUGUAACAGCAACAGCCCAGGGUUUCCGGCCUAAACUAACUGACAUAGACCUGAGUGAAAACUAUAUACACAAUGCCCCCUGGUGGCCAGGGUGAGAACUUCAAUAUAUAACACUCACCUGGAGCACUGUGUCCAUUUCUGGGCACCACCAUUUAAGGAGGAUGUUGACAAGCUGGAACGUGUCCAGAGGAGAGCGACAUUUCUUUAUAAGGCUUGGGAAACAGGCUUUAUGAGGAGGAGGAGCUGGGCUAUGUCUAGCCUGGGAAAGAGGAGACUGAGGGGAGAUACGGUAGCCAUUUUCAAAUAUCUUACAGGGGCUGCUCUCUCUCACGUUUUCUCAAUGCCAGGCCAGUGGGUGGUCCUAUAUUUGCAUAGUAGCUUCCCAAUUAGAUAUUGUUGUAAGUUUAGCGGAGGAGAUGGGGUGGGGUGGCUAGGCUGCAUGCCUGAGACCCUUGCUAAUUCCUAGAUCCAGCAAGGGCUAAAAUCUUGGUAAUGGCCCCUUAGGUAUGGGGAGUCAAGCGAGGAAGGAGAUGGAAGAAAGACAGGCUCUGACUCUGAACCUGACAGGCUGCAGGAGGAAGCAGACCCAGCCCCUCCCCCUUUCCUACCAAUAUAUUGGUUUCCUGAGACAGUUUGAGCAAGUUUCAAAGAAGGGGGCAUAGAUGCUAGGCAACCAGAUAGGCAGAGGAUUGACAGCUCUUCUCUGGAAGGGAUAGAAUUUCCUGACCCUCAAUCCCGAAGAGCUGAAAUGGUGAGAUUGCAAAGGAAGUGGAAAACAGGUUUUCCUGUUGUGACUACAAUGAUGACCCCAAGGAACCAACUGUGUCCAUUUCUGGACACCGCAAUUUAAGGAGGAUGUUGACAAACUGGAACGUGUGCAGAGGAGAGCGACAUUUCCUCAUUAGGCUUGGAAAACAGGCUUCAUGAGGAGGAGGAGCUGGGUAGGAGGAGAUUGGGGAGAAAUAUAAUACAAUGGCUGCUCCCUUUCACUUUCACUUUCUAUGCUUUCAUUUCAUCAAGUAAAUGUAGAAAUAUUACUGUAAUCAUUUAGACUAAAAAGAAGCAAUAUUUCAUAUAUGAAUUUUCCAGCUCUGUAAAUUAAUAUAUGUAAGACCACAUUUAGGGCUGUUGUGUGGGGAGUAUACUAGUAUGGAAGCAAAACUGCACCUUUUAAAGACUUCAAGAAGAGAUGAUUUAUUUCUCCGCUCUGUAAUUUUGUCUCCACAGAGGAUUCUUGGGACGUUGAUGCUAUGGCAAAAACUGAUGUUGUGAUGAAUUUUUUUCUGGCAAAAGCACAGAAUUGAUGCUUCAGACUCUGAAGAGGCUUUCAUUUCAUUAGGAAUAAAAGGAGUCAGGAAGACAAAACAAAGAAGUGGAAAACAUACUAUAUCUCAAUAAAUUGCAAAACUCUGUGUAACUAGAACUGAGUAGCAUUUACUGUGAGAUCUGUGGAUCCUCCUGGGAGAAAGGAAAGAUGGGUUCCUCUGAAACGAAAAUGACAGAGCAAAGGCUCCCCAUGAAUCCAGCAGUAGCAGAGAAUGGGGAAUGUAGCGGAAUCAUAAUUAAUGGAAGCCCCAAACAAGCAAGAGAACUCUUCUCUCCAAAACAGGGCCUUUUUGGUAAGUGAGUUCUGAUGAGAAAGGCACGAGUUUGUCAGAAAAGUUAUGGAUUUGCUGGUGGGAUGAGAGCUGCAGAAUGCAGGCCAACUAAUCAAAUUCAUGGAGACGCUAAUUUAUUCAGGCAAUCAAAAGCCAUUGGAAAAGGAUAGGUACAUAGACACUUGUGUGAAAAUUGAGGAAGGCUUCUCAGACUCUUCUUAGUUCCUCUCUGAGAUGGAACUAUCCUUCCUCACGCAGGCAUGCAUAAGGAGAAGGGGGGUGAGGCUGCCCUUGAGGAGAGAGAUUCCUGGCUGUUCUUCCCCUUCCAUGUACACCAAGAAUGGAGAGCUUGUCUCUCGCCAGAUAUUUCUGGAUUCAACUCCCUCCCAUCAUUCCCUGCUAGCAUGGCCAAUGUAGACCAAAAACAUCUGGAAGAUCACAGUGUCCCCAUUCCUGCUGCACACAGACCUGGAGAGUCACUGAUAAGCAAAGAGACCAGGAAUCUGCAAAUGCAGGCACAUAGUCCACAGCAUUGACUAGCACAGCGGCACUUUAAUGCGUUGUUGUUGUUGUUAUAUGAUGCCCAUCUGAUUGGGUUGAAUGGUAUACAUUACAGGAGACCAUCCUGAAAUUUAUAUUUUAGUGGGUGAUUUAUAAUUUUUUUAAAAAUAAAUAAAUAAAACUCUCAGCGAAUUGAGAAGCAACCAAUACCAUGCAAAUCCCCUGGCAGAGAACCCCUGUAAGACUGGCUUCACAACUUUGCAUUGUGCAACACUAUUUCAGAACAUUGUUGAAAACAUAUUGGUUCCUCCUUCUUCCAGGAACCCAAUCUGACCAACCAAGUGUUGGCAUGGUUACAUGCUGGUGACAUGGCAUUAACUGAAAAAAUAU